Trichomycterus rosablanca is the source of this 152-nucleotide long non-coding RNA. RefSeq lists it as uncharacterized. NCBI's taxonomy places the organism in Eukaryota, Metazoa, Chordata, Actinopteri, Siluriformes, Trichomycteridae. The transcript has 3 exons. The record is from RefSeq and is a predicted model, not a curated record.
UGCAUGACAUCCUGUCCACAGACAACAACAACCUGGGCCUACAGAGCCUGCAGGACCAACAGCAGGUCCGCAAGCUUGCUCUUACCUUUGGAAACUUGCCACCCAUGGUGUUGGAGCCCAUGGUAGUCCGCUGUAAGACCACAACUGGUGAC